UCAUGCCCCAAUCAGAGCUGCCUCCUGCUGGCCAAGAUCCAGGAGGUGAAUCUCGGGCUGCGAAACCUACUGGCCAGUCCUGGAAAGGCUGACCCUCCCCCCUGCUUCCCCUCCAGCCCGUUUGGGGCCCCCCUCUUCCAAACGGGGAAGCAGCAGGAAUUUCAGCAGCAAGCCGUGAACGUGCUGAAGGAGCAGAACCGCCUGCUCAUCAAGGAGGUGUCGGAGAAGAGCGACCGCAUCGCCCAGCUGGAGCAGGAGAAGGCGGCUCUGUGCAGGCGACUCCAGGAGAGCCCGGGCUACCGGCUGCCCAGCCACAAGGAGUCGACCUUCAUCUGACGGACGAGGUCACUUCCUCCCGUCGACCUACCAGACGAGGUCACUUCCUUCUGAGAGCAAAGAUGUAAUUUUCUCCUGGGGCAAUGAUGUCACUUCCUGUCAUUUGCCCAAGGCCAGUGAGGUCACUUCCUUCUACCCCACCCCCCCAGGGCAGUCAUUUCCUGCUGGACCUGGAAGGAACUAGCUCACUUCUUCCUCCUGUCCUAUUAUGUCAUUUCCUCUGUCCUGUCAUUGGUCUAUGAUGUCAUGCUCCUGAUGGUAUCACAUCAUCUUCAGACUCUGCUGACAUCACUUCCUCUUCAGAGCCUUUAGGCGUCACUUCCUCCUCCUCGCUUUUUCUGGUGAUGUCACUGACUUCUUCACUUCCCGUCCCUUCUUCCUCCAGCCCAUGUGGUUGUUUCAUAGUCAAGUCCAACCCUGCCCCACCCUCAGAGGUCACGGCCUUUCUUGUGGACACACAUACACAGUCUGACACAAACACUCCAUGAUGUCACACUCCUGGCUUCCUGUCAUCUGGGAGCCUCCCACUGACAUCACUUCCUGGAUUAUGGGUAACAAGAGGGCUAAUAACUGACUGUCCAAAGAGGCUUUCAAUGGGGAAUACCCACAGUGCUUUGCACCAGCUCCAGCAUGACCCUUAGCUAUAGAUCUAUGGGGUCCCCAUCCCAUCCUGCA
Long non-coding RNA from Gopherus evgoodei (Goodes thornscrub tortoise), 1011 nucleotides. RefSeq lists it as uncharacterized. NCBI's taxonomy places the organism in Eukaryota, Metazoa, Chordata, Testudines, Testudinidae. The transcript is spliced from 3 exons. The record is from RefSeq and is a predicted model, not a curated record.